CCUACGGGAGGCUGCAGUGGGGAAUAUUGCGCAAUGGAGGAAACUCUGACCCAGCAACGCCGCGUGAAUGAUGAAGGUCUUCGGAUUGUAAAGUUCUUUUCUAAGGGAAGAAAAAAGUGACGUUACCUUAGUAAUAAGCCUCGGCUAACGACGUGCCAGCAGCCGCGGUAAUACGUAGGAGGCGAGCGUUAUCCGGAAUGACUGGGCGUAAAGGGGGCGUAGGGGGGGUGGCAAGUUAGUCGCGUAACCCUAAGGCUCAACCUUGGAACUACUACUAAAACUGUUGGACUUGAGUGCAGGAGGGGCAAGUGGAAUUCUUAGUGUAGCGGUGGAAUGCGUAGAUAUUAGGAGGAAUACUCGUGGCGAAGGCGAGCUGCUAGAAUGUAACUGACACUGAGGCACGAAAGCGUGGGGAGCAAACAGGAUUAGAUACCCUUGUAGUC
RNAcentral lists this ribosomal RNA (443 nucleotides) under uncultured bacterium. Its description in RNAcentral is "partial 16S ribosomal RNA". It matches the Rfam family "Bacterial small subunit ribosomal RNA", at positions 338 to 795 of the family's 1533-position model. The record is from RNAcentral.